CACGCCUCCCCUGCAGGCGGACAGCUCCCAGUCUCCUCUCGCCGCCAUCUGUACACAUAGAGGGAUGGUGCCACUCAGACCCUCAGCUUCAAUUAGGCACUGUCGGGUUUCCUGACCUCUGCCCGCACUCUCACCCCGUCCCCACAUCCACAAGGAACAUUCUUCAGGGGGUGAAGCAGAUAUGCGGAAGCCAGCAGCUAAAAAUAACUCACUUCCGAGAUCGAGCGGCUCUCACCUCCUUUUCGCCGACGGUUUUAUCAGGCCUGGCUUUGAAGGGAUAACACACAGCAGCAGUGGGGACCUCAGAUGAGAUGGAAGCCACAGAACCAGCACCAUCACAUCAUUCCUCUGCCAGCACAGUUAUAAUCACGUCAUUUAGCCCUUGUAUGUAGUUUAACACUUUGAAAUAGCCAACAUGUGAAAAAUCCAUGAAGAACCAUAAGAAUACCAUCAAAAUAAAAUCUGCCGAGUACAUAGAGUCAAUUAACGGUCUGAAGAGAAAGUUUAAAAGAAAAUUCUGCAAAUCAGUGUUGUACAGCAACAAGUUUAACUUUAUGAAUUUUAAGACAACAACAGGCAGACAGCCCAAGAGAAAAGAACAAUACAAAUAUUCAAACAGAGCUGAAUUAGAGCUGCAAGUAAACUGAGAAGCUAAAAUAAACUGGCCAAUGGCAGAAUUGAUUUUGAGGCCUGAAAAUCCAUUUCUAAAAGUUGAGAAUUUAUUUUCCAAAAUUAGGAAAACAUUCAUCAGCCAUUUUGAAAAAAAUGAAUGGAAAAGGUGCAAAUCCCCCAUUUUGUUUUAAAGCAAAAUUAUAGUUUUCUGACACUUCUAGAACCCUGACUAAACGUGGGGACCACAGUUUACAAAGUAGCUCAAUAAAAUUACUGCUAUAAUAUUGCUACAUUUAAGAUUUGCAGCAAUGUUGUACGUACAAGAUAUUGCUACAUUGAAAUAGUCUGAAGAGCUUUUUGCAAUACUGUUGCCACAUCAAAUAUCCUUUAAACCUUCAAACAAUUUGCAAACACAACAGUUUCUUUUUUCUUAAGAAGCCCAAUUUUAAAAGGCAAUGACAUAACAAGAACAAGCAAGGUCAAAAGUAUAUUGUCAGAACGUCCACAAAAUUUUGUAGCUUGAAUUAGGAUGUAGUAGACCCCCUGACAGAAUUUAAAAUAUUUAAACAGUAUUAAGAGCUAUGAUUUCCAGAUGUGUCUGAUGCAGAAAAGUAAGCCAUUAAGAUUUGUUUAACAAUUGAAAAUGAAUGUCUAUGCAAAUUAAAUAUGUCAGGAUCAAUGACUCAGGAGCUAAAAGAUCCCCAAUGUUAUGGGUCACCUGAGAAAACUAAUUCAGAGUCAGAUCAUCAACUCAAAUUCAUAUAAUUUCU
This is a non-coding RNA of Chiloscyllium plagiosum (whitespotted bambooshark), 1382 nucleotides long. NCBI's taxonomy places the organism in Eukaryota, Metazoa, Chordata, Chondrichthyes, Orectolobiformes, Hemiscylliidae. The record is from RefSeq and is a predicted model, not a curated record.